Molecule: long non-coding RNA, 463 nt
Organism: Mastomys coucha (southern multimammate mouse)
Lineage: Eukaryota; Metazoa; Chordata; Mammalia; Rodentia; Muridae
Exons: 2
Source: RefSeq, a predicted model, not a curated record
AAUGUCAAGAGGUGAGCAGCUAGACGGGCCAGAGAAGCGCAGGGUCACCGGAUUCUUCUGGAAGCCACAGCUGUUACUAGAGUUGACAGAGGACGCGCCACAGCCCUAACCCUCACCUGUCACACUUGGUCCAAAGUGUGUUCCAUAGAGGGCCCUGGAUCCUCUGGGACCGAGUACCAGAUGAGGCAAUGGUGAAAAGAUUUCUCUCAUUUGAGCUGCGCAAGCUAAGCUGUGCUCUGCACCUACCAAGGCAUUCUGGGGUCUUGGAUACCUGAAUCUUCAAGGUUCUGUGGAAAAGUUUCCCAGAACUCCCUACUGCCAGGUCCCCCACUCUGGACGGCCAGCCCUGCCUGUCCUCAGAGACCAUAUCUCACAGCUUCACUGGACUAGAGCCCCCUUCCCAGGAGAUCCUUGUGCAGAGGGCGGGUGUGGAAGAAUAAAUGUGGGUUGGUGCAUAAUCAGA